CCUACGGGAGGCAGCAGUGAGGAAUAUUGGUCAAUGGACGAGAGUCUGAACCAGCCAAGUAGCGUGAAGGAUGACGGCCCUAUGGUUUGUAAACUUCUUUUAUAUGGGAAUAAAACGUUCCACGUGUGGGAUUUUGUAUGUACCAUAUGAAUAAGGAUCGGCUAACUCCGUGCCAGCAGCCGCGGUAAUACGGAGGAUCCGAGCGUUAUCCGGAUUUAUUGGGUUUAAAGGGAGCGUAGGUGGAUUGUUAAGUCAGUUGUGAAAGUUUGCGGCUCAACCGUAAAAUUGCAGUUGAAACUGGCAGUCUUGAGUACAGUAGAGGUGGGCGGAAUUCGGGGUGUAGCGGUGAAAUGCUUAGAUAUCACGAAGAACUCCGAUUGCGAAGGCAGUUCACUGGACUGCAACUGACACUGAGGCUCGAAAGUGUGGGUAUCAAACAGGAUUAGAUACCCUUGUAGUC
RNAcentral lists this ribosomal RNA (460 nucleotides) under uncultured bacterium. RNAcentral's name for it is "partial 16S ribosomal RNA". It matches the Rfam family "Bacterial small subunit ribosomal RNA", at positions 338 to 795 of the family's 1533-position model. The record is from RNAcentral.